AAAUGAAACCGCCAUUUUGUACAGUUUCGCCAAAGUGAUUUGUUUACUGAUAACCAUUGUUAAUUCUACUAAUUGAUACAGAACUCUACUAUUUUAGGGUACUUAUAAUAUUAUUAUAGUCUAUAGCGGCCAACAGACCCGACGAAAUGGAUAACCAAAGAGAGAAAGAACGCGACCGUUCAAAGCGUGGAGACAGGCCUUCCAGGUUUUCAGACGCUCAAAGAGACCGCUCCAAUGACCGCGAAGCGCGAUCAGAUGGAAAACGCUUGUUCGUGUCUAACAUUCCAUACGAGUUCCGUUGGACUGAGCUGAAAGACUUAUUCAAGGAAAAGGUUGGUGAUGUGGCAUACGUAGAGCUGUAUAAUGACGACAAUGGGAAACCACGAGGUUGUGGUGUCGUUGAGUUCACUAACACGGAGGCCAUGAAGAAAGCUCUCUUUGUGAUGCACAGAUAUGAACUCAACGGAAGGAAGCUGGUGUUAAAAGAAGAGACAGGUAAUGAACGCAACAGGGUGGGUUCUGCCAGGCAAGGUGGUGGGGGCGGCGGCGGCGGCGGCAACAGGAACAACAGGGAUGAUAAAGACGGAUGGGGAAUGAUGAAACCACGUGAGCCAGAAAACUUCAAUACAUACGGACUCAGUCUUGAAUUCCUUGACUCUAUCAAUGUGCAGCCUCCACUAGUAAAGAAAGUUUUUGUUGCCAAUCUUGACUACAAAGCGGAUCGUGCCAAAAUAAAGGAGAUCUUCAAAAUGGCGGGCAAAGUCCGCAACAUAGACCUGGCGAUAGACAAGGACGGCAACAGCAGAGGCUUCGCCGUCAUCGAGUACGACCAUCCGGUUGAAGCCGUGCAGGCAAUAUCCAUGUUCGACAAGCAAAUGCUAUACGAACGGCGCAUGACAGUCCGAAUGGACCGCGGCAACUCAGAAAAGUCAGAACUGCGCCUGCCCGAAGGUUUGAAAGGCAUCGGUCUAGGCUUGGGGCCUAAUGGCGAACCACUAAGGGAUGUAGCUAGGAAUCUGCCACAGAAUUCUAACGGGCCGAACUUGAACCUGAAUAAUAAUAAUUCGUCGUUGGGAACGGGAGUGCUGGGGGCUGUGCCCACGGCUUCUGUCGCCCUGAAUGGGCUGGGAGCUGGUCUGGCCGCGAACCCGCUGGCUACAAACACUUUGGGAGGAGGACUGGGAUUACAGGCACUAGGUCUGACCGGUCUCGGCGCCCUCCAAAACCAGCUUCUCCAGCAAGGCCUCACCGCCAGCGACCUGGCCACCGUGCUCACCGCGCAAGCGCAGGCCCAGGCCCAAGCCCAGGCUCAAGCCCAAGUAGCGCAGGCUGCCAAUGUCGGGGUCAAUGUCAACACUGGCCUGAAUCUGAAUAAUGACUUGAGCGCUAGUGUGCUGGGCAAUAACGCUUUGAGUAGUAAUGUCAUGGGAGGAAACUCUUCUAUGAGCAGCGGGCCGCUUUCAGCAUCCCGUAGCCAAAUGGUCGGAGUGACCGGGUCUGGACAGAGCUACGGGCGGGAGUCCAGCGUGCAACAGAACUCGCGGGACAAGUCUUCCGACAUGGUUGCUAUCACUAAUCUUCCGCCAACCGUGACAUGGCAGCUGAUCCGCGAGAAGUUCAGCGAGUGUGGAGACGUGAAAUUCGCCGAGAUGACCGGCCCCGACUCCGCCAUCGUUCGCUUCCACAAGGAGUGGGACGCCGAUCGGGCUAUCAAAAUGUUCGACAGGACCCGCAUUGACGGGAGAACUAUAGACGUACGAUUUUUCUGAGACGAGGAUACAAGGUUACAAUAUGGAUUAAAAAUGGAACUGACCAAUCCAAUGACGCCAAGAGGGUACCAGACUAUAGUGGCUACAGGCACAGCCUCUUGCCAACAUUCGUGUAUCCCGAAAUGAUUCACGUUGACGCAUGGCACACAAUAGGCGUGUUCGAAGGCUUAAAGUCGACGGAACCGCCUGAGCCGCUAGAUGGAACACAGGAGACACGACGCCAAAGUAUAUACCUACUCGCGCUCCGCAGCCAGCAAAGGUAAUUUGGUGAACUACAGUGUUAGCAAGUGUUAUUUUGAAUAGAAGUUUAAUUUAUUAUACAACUAUUUCUGUUAUGAAUGUACCCACUCAUUAUUAAAAGACUGAAUACAAUUUACA
Molecule: unclassified non-coding RNA, 2147 nt
Filed under: Leguminivora glycinivorella
Lineage: Eukaryota; Metazoa; Arthropoda; Insecta; Lepidoptera; Tortricidae
Description: heterogeneous nuclear ribonucleoprotein M, transcript variant X2
Source: RNAcentral